AAGCAGUCACAACGCGUCACGGAACCGGUGAAACUUGGACAAUCGAGACCGCAACUUUAUAUUCCACGUACGACUAAAUGAUUGGUGGAGUAAUAUAUUUAAUUAAUUUAUUAAGGUGAGGCUUUGCAAUGGGCUAGAGCUCGCUAAACUACGAUACCAAGUGCAGUAAGUACUCUGUAAGAGCUUCUACCGUUUGCUGAGGUGGUACCGUUUUCUUUUGUUUA
Schizosaccharomyces pombe (fission yeast) is the source of this 224-nucleotide non-coding RNA. The record is from the annotation of a GenBank genome assembly. Lineage: Eukaryota; Fungi; Ascomycota; Schizosaccharomycetes; Schizosaccharomycetales; Schizosaccharomycetaceae.